Molecule: ribosomal RNA, 253 nt
Filed under: uncultured bacterium
Lineage: Bacteria
Description: partial 16S ribosomal RNA
Rfam family: Bacterial small subunit ribosomal RNA
Source: RNAcentral
UACAGAGGUUCCAAGCGUUGUUCGGAUUCAUUGGGCGUAAAGGGUGCGUAGGCGGCGCGGUAAGUCGGGUGUGAAAUCUCGGAGCUUAACUCCGAAACUGCAUUCGAUACUGCCGUGCUUGAGGACUGGAGAGGAGACUGGAAUUUACGGUGUAGCGGUGAAAUGCGUAGAUAUCGUAAGGAAGACCAGUGGCGAAGGCGGGUCUCUGGACAGUUCCAGACGCUGAGGCACGAAGGCCAGGGGAGCAAACGGG